UGGGUUUGAUCUCAUUUUUUCUAUCACCAGAAUCCUUUCUUUCAGAUUGAACUUCCUGUGUAUCAGUUGAACCAGGAUUCUCAGUCAAAAACUGUUCCCAGAAUACAUCAUUGACUCCAGCUGCCACAGGAGCAGUCCCAGUUGCUGGUUCCUUCGGAGGAUCAGACUCUGUAGCUGAAGCUACAGCAGGCUCAGAAUUCAUGUCAAUAGCAGGAGACUUGGGCCGAUUAUCAGCACUAAAUUGUACACAAGAUAUGGCCAGGCUUUCAGCACAACUUGUAGAUUCAUCCAACUCUAAGGUUGAAUUGCUUUGAAUGUUGGUUUGGACAUCAUUAACAAUACUCUCCCAAAAUCUCAGAGUCGACUCCAAUUGCUCAAACUGCUCCACGUUUGACAGCGCAACAGAAUUACUGUCCGCAUUUUCUCUAGCAAGAGCUUGACAAGUCACCAUCUGAUUAUCCUCAAUACUGGCCUCAUCAUACAAAUAACCAAUUCUUGGCAACCUUCUCUUCCUAUCAUGGCCUGGUUCCAGCUGUGACAUGAGAUCUAAAGCAAGCCCAGGUUUCUGCAAGACUCGGGCCACAAAAGACACCAUCGUUUGCUGCUUUCGCUCCAUCUGUUGCAAUUUCUCCUUCAAUGCCUGCAUUUGCAUCUCAAAUCCUUGCUUCUCCUGUUCAUGCCUCUGUAAAUCCAAGACAAGAACUUGUUUCUCUUCUUCAAGCCUCUCUAUGUAAUCCUUCAAACUCUGUCUUUCUGAAUCGGUUAAUGGAUUAGAACCCUGUCCUUGGAGAUUUUGCAUAGAAUGGCUGUGAACUGGCUUCCGUCUGUGAAUGUUCUUCAUAAGGUGUGGUUGACCUCGUAUAAAAUCUUCAUUCCCAAAUUCCCAUUGUUCUGGAUCAAUCUUUCUAAAACCAUAUGUGUUGAGCUGUCUGAUGAAGCUUGAGAAGUUAUUGUGCUUAAAGAAUCUUGGGAGCAAAUCCUUUGAAAACUCCGGUGGAUUCCAUACAAUAAAGCUUUUAUUGCUCUGACUCCAUGAAACGACUGAAUCUGUGGAAGGAUCAUCCACCAUCUCAUAUGUCUUUGAAAGAAAAGGUGGCAGUGAAUUGGAACU
Molecule: unclassified non-coding RNA, 1111 nt
Filed under: Hevea brasiliensis (rubber tree)
Lineage: Eukaryota; Viridiplantae; Streptophyta; Magnoliopsida; Malpighiales; Euphorbiaceae
Source: RNAcentral